Molecule: long non-coding RNA, 750 nt
Filed under: Nicotiana tabacum (common tobacco)
Lineage: Eukaryota; Viridiplantae; Streptophyta; Magnoliopsida; Solanales; Solanaceae
Description: long non-coding RNA (NTAB_LNC015129)
Source: RNAcentral
GUCCCCUAAGAAGAAAUCCAUGUUCCGAAGACCUUCAAAGUCUUCUAAAAACAAAGAUGUCUGUUGGAACUGUGGAAAAACCGGCCAUAGAGCCAAUGAUUGCAAAUUUUUAACAGAUAUUGUACCUUAACAUCAAAGAUCUAAUGGCUUCUUAGUAGAGUCUUCUUGGGUUUACAACUAUUUUCUCUAAAGUCAUCUUAGCGACGGGAUCACCUAACAAGGUCUAAACACCUACCUAGGCAAGAACGACCUAUCACUUUAAGGCUAGCCAACGUCUGAACCGGAUAUUAAUAGGCUACCUCAUACUUAUAGAGAAAAUAUUAACCUCAUACAUAACUUAGAAGCAUUUUAAGAACAUGAGUUUAAAGUAAUAGUAAACGGUAAAUAUGCAAAUUUCUAACAGAUACUAUACCUUAACAUCAAAGAUCUAAUGGCUUCUUAGUAGAGUCUUCUUGGGUUUACAACUAUUUUCUCUAAAGUCAUCUUAGUGACGGGAUCACCUAACAAGGUCUAAACGCCUACCUUGGCAACAACGACCUAUCACUUUAAGGCUAGCCAACGUCUGAACCGGAUAUUAAUCGGUUACCUCAUACUUAUAGAGAAAAUAUUAACCUCAUACAUAACUUAGAAGCAUUUUAAGAACAUGAAUUUAAAAAACAGUUUAAGAGAUAGAUAUAAGCAUAGAUAAUUUCUUCUUCUUCUUCAUUAAUAUAAGAGUUCCUUAGGGCUCUGGUACCAGUUAAGGUACAA